GCGGAUUUAGCUCAGUUGGGAGAGCGCCAGACUGAAGUUAACUUCGGUCGUUGUCAUCUGGAGGUCCUGUGUUCGAUCCACAGAAUUCGCA
RNAcentral lists this transfer RNA (91 nucleotides) under Lachancea mirantina. It matches the Rfam family "tRNA". Rfam says of the family: Transfer RNA (tRNA) molecules are approximately 80 nucleotides in length. Their secondary structure includes four short double-helical elements and three loops (D, anti-codon, and T loops). The record is from Rfam by way of RNAcentral. Lineage: Eukaryota; Fungi; Ascomycota; Saccharomycetes; Saccharomycetales; Saccharomycetaceae.